AACGAACGCUGGCGGCAGGCUUAACACAUGCAAGUCGAGCGCAUCCUUCGGGGUGAGCGGCAGACGGGUGAGUAACGCGUGGGAACGUACCCUUUCCUACGGAAUAGCUCCGGGAAACUGGAAUUAAUACCGUAUACGCCCUUAGGGGGAAAGAUUUAUCGGGGAAGGAUCGGCCCGGGUUGGAUUAGCUAGUUGGUGGGGUAAAGGCCUACCAAGACGACGAUCCAUAGCUGGUCUGAGAGGAUGAUCAGCCACAUUGGGACUGAGACACGGCCCAAACUCCUACGGGAGGCAGCAGUGGGGAAUAUUGGACAAUGGGCGCAAGCCUGAUCCAGCCAUGCCGCGUGAGUGAUGAAGGCCUUAGGGUUGUAAAGCUCUUUCAGUAGGGAAGAUAAUGACGGUACCUACAGAAGAAGCCCCGGCUAACUUCGUGCCAGCAGCCGCCGUAA
Molecule: ribosomal RNA, 449 nt
Filed under: uncultured bacterium
Lineage: Bacteria
Description: partial 16S ribosomal RNA
Rfam family: Bacterial small subunit ribosomal RNA
Source: RNAcentral